Molecule: ribosomal RNA, 445 nt
Filed under: Chromobacterium sp.
Lineage: Bacteria; Pseudomonadati; Pseudomonadota; Betaproteobacteria; Neisseriales; Chromobacteriaceae
Description: bacterial SSU rRNA
Rfam family: Bacterial small subunit ribosomal RNA
Source: RNAcentral
GUAGUAGCUAACGCGUAACCGCCUGGGGAGUACGGCCGCAAGGUUAAACUCAAAGGAAUUGACGGGGCCCGCACAAGCGGUGGAAUGUGGUUAAUUCGAGCAACGCGAAAACCUUACCUGGUCUUGACAUGUCCGAACUCCAGAGAUGCAGUCCCUUAAGGGACCGUAACACAGGUGGUGCAUGGUGUGUCAGCUCGUGUCGUGAGAUGUUGGGUUAAGUCCCGCAACGAGCGCAACCCUCUUAGUUGCCACAUUAGUUGGGCACUCUAGGACUGCCGGUGACAAACCGGAGGAAGGUGGGGAUGACGUCAAGUCUCAUGCCCUUAUGACCGGGCUCACACGUUACAAUGGUCGGUACAAGGGAGCCACCGCGAGGUGGAGCCAAUCCAUAAACCGUCGAGUCGGAUCGCAUCUGCAACUCGUGCUGAAGUCGGAAUCGCUAGUA